UGGGGAAUUUUGCACAAUGGGGGAAACCCUGAUGCAGCGACGCCGCGUGAUUUAGAAGGCCUUCGGGUUGUAAAAAUCUUUUCUAUGGGAAGAAAAUGACAGUACCAUAGGAAUAAGGACCGGCUAAUUACGUGCCAGCAGCCGCGGUAAUACGUAAGGUCCGAGCGUUGUCCGGAAUCAUUGGGCGUAAAGGGUACGUAGGCGGUUAAGCAAGUUAGAAGUGAAAUCCUAUAGCUCAACUAUAGUAAGCUUUUAAAACUGCUCAUCUUGAGGUAUGGAAGGGAAAGUGGAAUUCCUAGUGUAGCGGUGAAAUGCGCAGAUAUUAGGAGGAAUACCGGGGGCGAAGGCGACUUUCUGGCCAUAACCUGACGCUGAGGUACGAAAGCGUGGGUAGCAAACAGG
Molecule: ribosomal RNA, 402 nt
Filed under: bacterium
Lineage: Bacteria
Description: partial 16S ribosomal RNA
Rfam family: Bacterial small subunit ribosomal RNA
Source: RNAcentral